This 622-nucleotide ribosomal RNA is filed under the name Akkermansia muciniphila. Its description in RNAcentral is "bacterial SSU rRNA". It matches the Rfam family "Bacterial small subunit ribosomal RNA", at positions 37 to 680 of the family's 1533-position model. The record is from RNAcentral. Lineage: Bacteria; Pseudomonadati; Verrucomicrobiota; Verrucomicrobiia; Verrucomicrobiales; Akkermansiaceae.
UGGCGGCGUGGAUAAGACAUGCAAGUCGAACGAGAGAAUUGCUAGCUUGCUAAUAAUUCUCUAGUGGCGCACGGGUGAGUAACACGUGAGUAACCUGCCCCCGAGAGCGGGAUAGCCCUGGGAAACCGGGAUUAAUACCGCAUAGUAUCGAAAGAUUAAAGCAGCAAUGCGCUUGGGGAUGGGCUCGCGGCCUAUUAGUUAGUUGGUGAGGUAACGGCUCACCAAGGCGAUGACGGGUAGCCGGUCUGAGAGGAUGUCCGGCCACACUGGAACUGAGACACGGUCCAGACACCUACGGGUGGCAGCAGUCGAGAAUCAUUCACAAUGGGGGAAACCCUGAUGGUGCGACGCCGCGUGGGGGAAUGAAGGUCUUCGGAUUGUAAACCCCUGUCAUGUGGGAGCAAAUUAAAAAGAUAGUACCACAAGAGGAAGAGACGGCUAACUCUGUGCCAGCAGCCGCGGUAAUACAGAGGUCUCAAGCGUUGUUCGGAAUCACUGGGCGUAAAGCGUGCGUAGGCUGUUUCGUAAGUCGUGUGUGAAAGGCGCGGGCUCAACCCGCGGACGGCACAUGAUACUGCGAGACUAGAGUAAUGGAGGGGGAACCGGAAUUCACGGUGUAGCA